UGAGUUAGAUGGAUCAGACCCGAAACCGAGUGAUCUAGGCAUGACCAGGAUGAAGGUAAGGUAACACUUACUGGAGGUCCGAACCCACACCUGUUGAAAAAGGUCGGGAUGAGUUGUGCCUAGGGGUGAAAGGCCAAUCAAACCCGGAGAUAGCUGGUUCUCUGCGAAAACUAUUUAGGUAGUGCGUCGUGUAUUACCGUCGGGGGUAGAGCACUGGAUGGGCUAGGGGGGCGCGAGCCUUACCAAACCUAACCAAACUCCGAAUACCGGCGAGUACAGCACGGCAGACAGACUAUGGGUGCUAAGGUCCAUAGUCGAGAGGGAAACAGCCCAGACCUCCAGCUAAGGUCCCUAAAUUGUGGCUAAGUGGGAAAGGAUGUGGGAAGGCCAAGACAGCCAGGAGGUUGGCUUAGAAGCAGCCAUCCUUUAAAG
This 432-nucleotide ribosomal RNA is filed under the name Pteridomonas danica. RNAcentral's name for it is "partial Bacterial large subunit ribosomal RNA". It matches the Rfam family "Bacterial large subunit ribosomal RNA", at positions 696 to 1128 of the family's 2925-position model. Lineage: Eukaryota; Dictyochophyceae; Pedinellales. The record is from RNAcentral.